UGCAAGUCGAGCGCAGGAAAUCGACGGAACCCUUCGGGGGGAAGUCGACGGAAUGAGCGGCGGACGGGUGAGUAACACGUAAAGAACCUGCCCUCAGGUCUGGGAUAACCACGAGAAAUCGGGGCUAAUACCGGAUGGGUCAUCGGACCGCAUGGUCCGAGGAUGAAAGGCGCUUCGGCGUCGCCUGGGGAUGGCUUUGCGGUGCAUUAGCUAGUUGGUGGGGUAAUGGCCCACCAAGGCGACGAUGCAUAGCCGACCUGAGAGGGUGAUCGGCCACACUGGGACUGAGACACGGCCCAGACUCCUACGGGAGGCAGCAGUAGGGAAUCUUCCACAAUGGACGAAAGUCUGAUGGAGCAACGCCGCGUGAACGAUGAAGGCCUCGGUCGUAAGUUACUGUUGUAAGGGAAGAAC
Molecule: ribosomal RNA, 414 nt
Filed under: uncultured bacterium
Lineage: Bacteria
Description: bacterial SSU rRNA
Rfam family: Bacterial small subunit ribosomal RNA
Source: RNAcentral